RNAcentral lists this ribosomal RNA (369 nucleotides) under Clostridioides difficile. Its description in RNAcentral is "bacterial SSU rRNA". It matches the Rfam family "Bacterial small subunit ribosomal RNA", at positions 1020 to 1390 of the family's 1533-position model. The record is from RNAcentral. Lineage: Bacteria; Bacillati; Bacillota; Clostridia; Peptostreptococcales; Peptostreptococcaceae.
CGGGGACAUUGGUGACAGGUGGGGCAUGGUUGUCGUCAGCUCGUGUCGUGGGAUGUUGGGUUAAGUCCCGCAACGUGCGCCACCCUUGUCUUGUGUUGCCAUCAUUAAGGUGGGCACGCUAGGGAGACGGCCAGGGAUAACCUGGAGGAAGGUGGGGAUGACGUCAAAUCAUAAUGCCCCGUAUGCUUAGGGCUACACACGUGCUACAAUGGGUAGUACAGAGGGUUGCCAAGCCGUAAGGUGGAGCUAAUCCCUUAAAGCUACUCUCAGUUCGGAUUGUAGGCUGAAACUCGCCUACAUGAAGCUGGAGUUACUAGUAAUCGCAGAUCAGAAUGCUGCGGUGAAUGCGUUCCCGGGUCUUGUACACAC